RNAcentral lists this ribosomal RNA (497 nucleotides) under uncultured bacterium. Its description in RNAcentral is "partial 16S ribosomal RNA". It matches the Rfam family "Bacterial small subunit ribosomal RNA", at positions 28 to 507 of the family's 1533-position model. The record is from RNAcentral.
GAUGAACGCUGGCGGCGUGCCUAAUACAUGCAAGUCGAGCGAACGGACGAGAAGCUUGCUUCUCUGAUGUUAGCGGCGGACGGGUGAGUAACACGUGGAUAACCUACCUAUAAGACUGGGAUAACUUCGGGAAACCGGAGCUAAUACCGGAUAAUAUUUUGAACCGCAUGGUUCAAAAGUGAAAGACGGUCUUGCUGUCACUUAUAGAUGGAUCCGCGCUGCAUUAGCUAGUUGGUAAGGUAACGGCUUACCAAGGCAACGAUGCAUAGCCGACCUGAGAGGGUGAUCGGCCACACUGGAUCUGAGACACGGUCCAGACUCCUACGGGAGGCCGCAGUAGGGAAUCUUCCGCAAUGGGCGAAAGCCUGACGGAGCACCGCCGCGUGAGUGAUGAAGGUCUUCGGAUCGUAAAACUCUGUUAUUAGGGAAGAACAUAUGUGUAAGUAACUGUGCACAUCUUGACGGUACCUAAUCAGAAAGCCACGGCUAACUACGUG